Molecule: ribosomal RNA, 866 nt
Filed under: uncultured Microgenomates group bacterium
Lineage: Bacteria
Description: bacterial SSU rRNA
Rfam family: Bacterial small subunit ribosomal RNA
Source: RNAcentral
AGAGUUUGAUCCUGGCUCAGGAUUAACGCUGGCGGCAUGCCUUAUGCAUGCAAGUAGAACGGGUCAGUCGCAAGACUGAUCAGUUGCGAACGGCUGAGUAAUGGAUAGGAAUCUCCCCGAUGGUGUGGAAUACCUUAUCGAAAGAUAAGCUAAUACCACAUGACCCCGCAAGGGAAAAGCGCUUAACUGCGCGCCGACGGAUGAGCCUAUCUCCCAUCAGGCUGUUGGUAGGGUAAUGGCCUACCAAACCUAUGACGGGUACCCGCCCUGAGAGGGGAAACGGGCAGAAUGGGACUGAGACACGGCCCAUACACCUACGGGUGGCAGCAACAGGGAAUCGUGCGCAAUGGACGAAAGUCUGACGCCGCAAUGCCGCGUGGAGGAUGAAGGCCUUAGGGUCGUAAACUCCUUUUGCCAUGGGGGAGAUACCAUGGAGAAUAAGUGACUGCUAACUCUGUGCCAGCAGCCGCGGUAAUACAGAGGUCACAAGCGUUAUCCGGAUUUAUUGGGCGUAAAGCGUUUCGUAGGUGAUUCAUUAAGUUGCUCUUUAAAGACCGAGGCUCAACCUCGGGAAGGGGAGUAAGACUGAUGGAAUUGAAUAGUGGUGGGGUUUCUAGAACUGGUGGUGUAGUAGUGAAAUACGUUGAUAUCAUCAGGAAUUCCAAGGGCGAAGGCAGGAAACUAACCAUUUAUUGACACUGAGGAACGACAGCUAGGGGAGCGAAAGGGAUUAGAGACCCCUGUAGUCCUAGCCGUAAACUAUGCUCGUUAGGGAUUGGCGCUUGCGCCGAGUCCCGUAAGCUAACGCGUUAAACGAGCCGCCUGGGGAGUACGACCGCAAGGUUAAAACUCAAAGGAAUUGACGG